GAGUUUGAUCCUGGCUCAGGAUGAACGCUAGCGGGAGGCUUAAUACAUGCAAGUCGAACGGUAAGGUCUUGCUUGCAAGAUACACGAGUGGCGCACGGGUGAGUAACGCGUACACAACCUACCUUUAAGAGAGGGAUAGCCCUGGGAAACUGGGAGUAAUACCACAUAAUAUUAUCUAUGUAAGAUUGAUAAUUAAAGCUCAGGCGCUUAAAGAUGGGUGUGCGUACUAUUAGAUAGUUGGUGAGGUAAUGGCUCACCAAGUCAGCGAUAGUUAGGGGGCGUGAGAGCGUGAACCCCCACACGGGUACUGAGACACGGACCCGACUCCUACGGGAGGCAGCAGUAAGGAAUAUUGGACAAUGGAGGCAACUCUGAUCCAGCCAUCCCGCGUGCAGGACUAAGGCCCUCUGGGUCGUAAACUGCUUUUAUAAGAGAAGAAAC
This 441-nucleotide ribosomal RNA is filed under the name uncultured bacterium. RNAcentral's name for it is "bacterial SSU rRNA". It matches the Rfam family "Bacterial small subunit ribosomal RNA", at positions 9 to 451 of the family's 1533-position model. The record is from RNAcentral.